GGGAGGUGCUACAGUCAGAGAGGUGUGUGUGUUUGUUUGGUUCUACAUGAAUGGGGGCGCUACAGUGAGAGAGGUGUGUGUGUGUGUUUGGGUUCUACAUGAAUGGGGGCGCUACAGUGAGAGAUGUGUGUGUGUUUGGGUUCUACAUGAAGGGGGUGCUACAGUGAGAGAGGUGUGUGUGUGUGUUUGGGUUCUACAUGAAGGGGGGCGCUACAGUGAGAGAGGUGUGUGUGUGUGUGUGUUUGGGUUCUACAUGAAGGGGGGCGCUACAGUGAGAGAGGUGUUUGUGUUUGGGUUCUACAUGAAGGGGGUGCUACAGUCAGAGAGGUGUGUGUGUUUGGGUUCUACAUGAAUGGGGGUGCUACAGUGAGAGAGGUGUGUGUGUUUGGGUUCUACAUGAAGGGGGUGCUACAGUGAGAGAGGUGUGUGUGUUUGGGUUCUACAUGAAAGGGGUGCUAGAGUGAGAGAGGUGUGUGUGUUUGGGUUCUACAUGAAGGGGGGC
Long non-coding RNA from Oncorhynchus tshawytscha (Chinook salmon), 502 nucleotides. The record is from Ensembl. NCBI's taxonomy places the organism in Eukaryota, Metazoa, Chordata, Actinopteri, Salmoniformes, Salmonidae.